This 76-nucleotide small RNA is filed under the name Xanthomonas hortorum. Its description in RNAcentral is "sX9 sRNA". It matches the Rfam family "Xanthomonas sRNA sX9". Lineage: Bacteria; Pseudomonadati; Pseudomonadota; Gammaproteobacteria; Lysobacterales; Lysobacteraceae. RNAcentral also lists the same sequence under 2 other names. The record is from RNAcentral.
GUGCACCACGCGUACACCCCGGCUCCUCCGCACCGUCCGCACCCGCCUGACGACUGCUCGCUACGUUCUGUCAGCC